Molecule: ribosomal RNA, 763 nt
Filed under: uncultured archaeon
Lineage: Archaea
Description: bacterial SSU rRNA
Rfam family: Archaeal small subunit ribosomal RNA
Source: RNAcentral
ACGGGGUGCAGCAGGCGCGAAAACUUUACAAUGCUGGAAACAGCGAUAAGGGGACCUCGAGUGCCAGGUUACAAAUCUGGCUGUCGUGAUGCCUAAAAAGCAUUGCAUAGCAAGGGCCGGGCAAGACCGGUGCCAGCCGCCGCGGUAACACCGGCGGCUCGAGUGGUAACCGUUAUUAUUGGGUCUAAAGGGUCUGUAGCCGGCCGGGUAAGUCUCUUGGGAAAUCUGGCAGCUUAACUGUCAGGCUUUCAGGAGAUACUGUCUGGCUCGAGGCCGGGAGAGGUGAGAGGUACUUCAGGGGUAGGGGUGAAAUCUUGUAAUCCUUGAAGGACCACCAGUGGCGAAGGCGUCUCACCAGAACGGACCUGACGGCAAGGGACGAAAGCUAGGGGCACGAACCGGAUUAGAUACCCGGGUAGUCCUAGCCGUAAACGAUACUCGCUAGGUGUCGGCAACGGUGCGACCGUUGUCGGUGCCGUAGGGAAGCCGUGAAGCGAGCCACCUGGGAAGUACGGCCGCAAGGCUGAAACUUAAAGGAAUUGGCGGGGGAGCACCACAACGGGUGGAGCUUGCGGUUUAAUUGGAUUCAACGCCGGAAAUCUUACCGGGACCGACAGCAAUAUGAAGGCCAGGCUGAAGACUUUGCCGGAUUAGCUGAGAGGUGGUGCAUGGCCGUCGUCAGUUCGUACUGUGAACCAUCCUGUUAAGUCAGGCAACGAGCGAGACUCACGCCCACAGUUGCCAGCGUACUCUCCGGAGUGAC